Molecule: unclassified non-coding RNA, 395 nt
Filed under: soil metagenome
Description: partial contains 5.8S ribosomal RNA, internal transcribed spacer 2, and large subunit ribosomal RNA
Rfam family: 5.8S ribosomal RNA (bases 1-120)
Source: RNAcentral
GAUGAAGAACGUAGCGAAAUGCGAUAAGUAAUGUGAAUUGUAGAAUUCAGUGAAUCAUCGAAUCUUUGAACGCACCUUGCGCCUUUUGGUAUUCCGAAAGGCACACCUGUUUGAGCGUCAUGAAUACCUCAAUCUCCAUCUUUUCUUCGGAUUGAUGGGUGACUUGGAUGUUGAGCCCUGCUGGUAUGCUAUAUCAGCUGGCUUUAAACUUAUUAGCCGGCUCUGUACUGGAUCGGUUUGACUCGACGUGAUAAUAUUAUCGUUGAGGAUGCAUGUCUCAUGCAGCCGGAAAGUAUCAAAGCAGCUUCUAGCUUGCCUUUAGUGCACUUUUACAUUUUAGACCUCAGAUCAGGUGGGACUACCCGCUGAACUUAAGCAUAUCAAUAAGCGGAGGA